This 51-nucleotide transfer RNA is filed under the name Omobranchus elegans (elegant blenny). Its description in RNAcentral is "tRNA-Leu". The record is from RNAcentral. Lineage: Eukaryota; Metazoa; Chordata; Actinopteri; Blenniiformes; Blenniidae.
GAUGGCAGAGCCCGGCUAAUGCAAAAGACCUAAGCCCUUUGUACAGGGGUU